CUCCACCGGCGACCUCCGCCCUCUGCCUUAGAUCGAGGAGGCGGACGCCGUCAGAUCCGCCAUGCCCACAGCUCUCUCUGCCCCACCCCAAACCCUAUCCACAGCUGCCACUGUGCUCCAUCACUGGCGACCUCGCCGCCGCCGCCCCUCUCUCCUCGCCCUAUCUCCAUACCGCACGCGGGGGAGUGAGGGAGGCCCCAAAUCGAAGCGAGCAGCAGCUUCCAGAUCCAGAUCGAGAGGGGCACACAUUGUCACCUUCCUCCGCCCCAUGGCUCCUCUGUGGUCCCUACCCGCGGCUCCCGCGACGCCGAGCCAGAUGGGAGGAGCCACCGCCCCGCAGCACGCGUGCGCUGGUAGGGCGAGGGGAUCGAUGGCGGAGCUACAUGUGCAGGCGGUGCCCCCGCCGGAUCUGAACAAGAACACCGACCUGGUUCAUGUACCCGGGGGUCUGGACCACCUACAUCUUCAUCCUCUUCGUCUCCUAGCUCCUCAUCCUCUCCAUCUUCGGCUGCACCCCCGGCAUGGCCUGGACGCUCGUCAACCUUGGCCACUUUGCGGUCAACCAUGAAUUCAACUUUGAUGCUGAAGCCCAAGGAGCAGGAGGUCCUGGUGCUGGAGGAUGCAUAGGGGAAGACCCAUCUCAAGGGCCUCUCUAAGGUUCAUGUCAGGUCCAUUGAGGAUUUCGCGCAGUUGGGUUGUUUCGAUGAGAACCAGGACAAGCAGAAGGCCACCAAGGCUUCUUAUACCUAGCAGCAACCUACUAAACCCUCUUCUCACCUGCAGCCACCACCCCAUGCACAAAUACCAGCUGGCAAAACAGUUGCCCAAUGGGAACCUCCACAUUCGUGCUUAUGUUCAGCAAUAUGUUUAGAAUUUGGAGCCUUGCACUUUGUAGAAGUUAGGCUUAGUAUUCCAAGAUAAACUGCAUUGCUGUUACCUGUUAGAUUCCAAAUAAGUGUCUUGAUUCCAAGAUUCACUUGUGCUGAUUGUCAGAUAGUGUUGGUAGAUUAUUUUGAUAACUUUAGGCCUUCAUUUUCUUAUCUUCCAUUGACACAAGCACUUUUAUCAUGUUAGUAACGUCUGUAAAUAGCAUGAUUACUGCCUAGCUGCUAUGUGCCUAUUUUCUCUAAAAAAACUGAGACAUGUUGAGCUGACGCUGACUGAGAUAAUAUAGUAAUCAGUAAAAACCGAGACCUCCUUGAGUUUUAUAUGAAACUGUACUGCUAAUUGAAUGGCAACAUCACUGGAGUUAGCCGUUCUUGAGUUUCAUGAACUUGAUAUGAACAAAUUUGAUUAACAAAUCAUGAUGCUUAUUCAUUUAACUUGAUGGUCUUAUAUUGUUAUGUGUCGCAUGCGCCAAACGCGUCCAGAGUCUUCUUUCCUCCAGCAGCCACUGAUCUACAGCUAGGCAGUGAAGUUCCCUAUAACUAAAAUGGUAGGAUGCACAAGUUUAUAAGUCAGGUUUGUUUAGUUUAGGUCGAUGAAGCAUGGCAAGUAUAUUUUAUUAAUCUCCAGUAAUAAUUUAGGAUAAUCUCAAGUACAUUCAUUCAUGCGACAUUUUUCGAUUGUGGUGCUGAAUGAUGUUUGUUUUGCAUCUUUUGGCUUCAUUGAUGAAUGUUUGUCUCUCAUCUUCGAGCAGAGUUUGGUCCGAGCCAAGUUUACCUAUACUUGGUCAGCUCGGGCGGCUUCGCUAGCCCAACCGCCGUUGUUUUUGCCCAUUUGUGUUGUUGCUUUAGUAGCAUCCUCUGCUUCCUUUUACGUAGCAACAGAGCACCACUCUUACCCUACACUUCUCUCCAGAUUAUGCUACAAUUACAAAUUUACAAUGCAUUCAUGCAUGAGCAGUGCAUGUGUUGGCGUCCAUGAGAUCAGCAAUAGUUUGAACAAAUGAGCCGUAGGGUCUUUUUGGAACUCAUUGAUGCAUCAUAACUCAUUUGGAGAGCUACCUACUCAUUUGGAUGCGAUAUCAUGCUUGCUCUUUUGAAAUCGAUAAUGAUGCUCUGAAUGUUAGUUCUAUUGCCAUUGUGGAUUAGCUUAUGCCCCUCAAAUGCCAUUGACAAGUUGCAUCCCUUGACUUCAUAGAUCAGUGGAAUUAUCAUGAGUAGUAUACAACCUGAGAUGUCCGAUUGUAUACAAACUGCACCUCAAAAUUGAUAUGUUCUAGGCUGUGUCUCUGACUGCAAAUGUUUCUUCACUAUAAACUCUUCUACCGGUGAUAAGUGCAACUAGAAGAAUUUGUCCCAUAAAAAAUUCUGUAAUCCCUAUUAGCUGAAACUUGAGCAUUACAAAGUUUCAUUUCUAAGUUCAGUUUGUUGAUAAGACAUCCUCCUCCUGUUUCUGGGACUAUAUUAUGGUGUUGUGGAUAUACUUUGUGAUUUACAGUUACUGAUCUGUGCUUUGUUGUCAUAUUAUGGUCUAAUAUAUUUUGUUUUGACUCUUUCUCUGUUGCCAGGAAAGUGGUGAGGAGAUGUUGAUGAUGCCUACUUGCUUGGCUGCUAUGGUGAUGCAUGCACCGGUGAAGCAAGCACAUAUGUAAGGCUGCCCCAUGCACUUGCGAACAUCAUCUACAGUGUCUGUUCGUUAACAUCAAGUCUAAAUUGUCGCUUUGAUUUUUCCUGUUACUUAGUAUAGCAGUAUGACUAGGACAAGCUACAAGAUCCCAGUGCGUCUGAUCCAGGGUGUGUUAGGGCCAACCUGUUACGGAAGAUGGCCAUGCUCACGAGCCCCUCUGGAUCAAAAUCGGAUGGCAAGUUGUGGCAGCUGGAGCAUGUAUCACAAGGAAGAGCAAUGAAAUCCAUUGUACUGUUCCGUUAAAAAGAGAGUACAUUGUGCUGCUAUGAAAUAUUCCUGUGUAAGGAAAUGUAUUUCUGAGAUGCUUUUUUGUGUUAUGUAAACCUUGGAGAUGUGUUAUGUGAUGUGAUAUGACGGUUGACUUGAAUUUGACCUGGAGUUUUCCUAAUUUGAAUGAAAUAAUGUUGGAUGUA
Non-coding RNA from Triticum urartu, 2984 nucleotides. NCBI's taxonomy places the organism in Eukaryota, Viridiplantae, Streptophyta, Magnoliopsida, Poales, Poaceae. The record is from RefSeq and is a predicted model, not a curated record.